GCAAAUUAUAGGCCAGAAAAACUAGUUGGAAAAUGUGUAUAUAUAUACACAUUUUCCAACUAGUUUUUCUGGCCUAUAAUUUGCAAUGUCA
Molecule: non-coding RNA, 91 nt
Organism: Pelobates cultripes (western spadefoot toad)
Lineage: Eukaryota; Metazoa; Chordata; Amphibia; Anura; Pelobatidae
Source: the annotation of a GenBank genome assembly